Long non-coding RNA from Dermochelys coriacea (leatherback sea turtle), 1153 nucleotides. RefSeq lists it as uncharacterized. Lineage: Eukaryota; Metazoa; Chordata; Testudines; Dermochelyidae. The transcript is spliced from 4 exons. The record is from RefSeq and is a predicted model, not a curated record.
UCCUCCUUUUGUCCAAUAGUUGUCAAUGUCUAUGUGUUACAGGUUUUUAUAAGCAAAUAGCUUAUAGUUGUAUUUUUUACUAUCUCAGUUCAUUUAUGGGGUUUGGAAUGAAAGGGCUCAUAAGCUUAAAUUUCAGCUAUAACUGUUCUGCCUGUUUAGGAACUUGGAGCCAGACAGGCCUGCUCAUUAAUGAGAUGCAGCUGAGGGGGCAGGGGCAGGUGUUCCCUAUAAGGAGUCAGGCUGUCAUUAAGGAAGGAGAAGCAAGAGUUAUAUGGAAGGGGAAACUAGGAAUUUGCUGUGGAAAAAGGGACCUUGUGGGAGAUAGUACUCAGCUAAAACUGCCACCUGUUCUAGCUCUGACUGAGAUGGAUACAACUGCCUAGAUAGAAAAUGGGUAACAUUCACUUCCAGUCAGUGGAGAACCUAGAAGAGGCUCCGUCCAACUUACCCAUGUUCUUUAUCAUUGGAGGUGGAUCUGUAGGAGUGAUUUGAAUGACAACCACUUGGACCAGGAAAUGAAGGAAAUCCAUAUUCGAAAGAAACUACUGAGGCCAUCUGGGAGGAGCAGAGCGCUAUGAAACACUGAUGGUUCAAACACUGUUUAAUUAAAAUCCUUAAUAGAAUCACAGUCUGUUCUGCUGUGUUGUGAAAUGCAAAUGUAAUCAAAAGCACUUUUUGUAUUACAACAAAUGUGAGGCAGGUUUUUUUCUUGAUAUGGUUUUAGUAUAUUGUAAACUUGUUCAGAGUUUUUGUUGAGACAAAACAAAAUACAUUUCUCAGAUGUGUUAUACAGAAAAAGUUUAUUUUAAAGGUUUAAAAACAUCAUCUGGAAAGAGUGCAAAUUUGGGCUGCAAGGGAAUCUGACCUCUGAUUAAAUAAGACUACAAACGCCGCUGAUGUUAAUAGCCAUUAUAUACUCUCUCAGACCUUGGGUAGACUGAAGCAACUCGACAAAUGUUUGCUUGAUGAUUUAGCUUGCUGGGGUUUUUAUUUUUAUUUAGUGUGGAUAAAUUAGCUGCAGUCUAUGUGGCUAGUGUUUUGUUUAAAGCCUUUGUUUUUAUUAACAUGGGGCUCUCUUCUAAUAUAUGUUUAUUGAGCUUGCGAAUUGGAAGUGCUCCUGCUGAAUAAAGUAUAAGGUGUUGAUUUGUCAACA